CCUAGCAGUCGGACGAUGAAGCCCUUACGGGGUGGAUUAGUGGCGAACGGGUGAGUAACACGUGAGCAACCUGCCCUUGACUCUGGGAUAAGCCUGGGAAACUGGGUCUAAUACCGGAUACUACUUCCUGCCGCAUGGUGGGGGGUGGAAAGCCUUGUGCGGUCUUGGAUGGGCUCGCGGCCUAUCAGCUUGUUGGUGGGGUAAUGGCCUACCAAGGCGACGACGGGUAGCCGGCCUGAGAGGGUGACCGGCCACACUGGGACUGAGACACGGCCCAGACUCCUACGGGAGGCAGCAGUGGGGAAUAUUGCACAAUGGGCGCAAGCCUGAUGCAGCGACGCCGCGUGGGGGAUGACGGCCUUCGGGUUGUAAACCCCUUUCGGCAGGGAACAAGCCUUUCGGUGAG
This 406-nucleotide ribosomal RNA is filed under the name Sinomonas sp. RNAcentral describes it as "bacterial SSU rRNA". It matches the Rfam family "Bacterial small subunit ribosomal RNA", at positions 54 to 462 of the family's 1533-position model. The record is from RNAcentral. Lineage: Bacteria; Bacillati; Actinomycetota; Actinomycetes; Micrococcales; Micrococcaceae.